UUCUCUUGAGAGCGGCGGACGGGUGAGUAAUGCCUAGGAAUCUGCCUGGUAGUGGGGGAUAACGCUCGGAAACGGACGCUAAUACCGCAUACGUCCUACGGGAGAAAGCAGGGGACCUUCGGGCCUUGCGCUAUCAGAUGAGCCUAGGUCGGAUUAGCUAGUUGGUGAGGUAAUGGCUCACCAAGGCGACGAUCCGUAACUGGUCUGAGAGGAUGAUCAGUCACACUGGAACUGAGACACGGUCCAGACUCCUACGGGAGGCAGCAGUGGGGAAUAUUGGACAAUGGGCGAAAGCCUGAUCCAGCCAUGCCGCGUGUGUGAAGAAGGUCUUCGGAUUGUAAAGCACUUUAAGUUGGGAGGAAGGGCAUUAACCUAAUACGUUGGUGUCUUGACGUUACCGACAGAAUAAGCACCGGCUAACUCUGUGCCAGCAGCCGCGGUAAUACAGAGGGUGCAAGCGUUAAUCGGAAUUACUGGGCGUAAAGCGCGCGUAGGUGGUUCGUUAAGUUGGAUGUGAAAUCCCCGGGCUCAACCUGGGAACUGCAUUCAAAACUGACGAGCUAGAGUAUGGUAGAGGGUGGUGGAAUUUCCUGUGUAG
RNAcentral lists this ribosomal RNA (598 nucleotides) under Pseudomonas brassicacearum subsp. brassicacearum. Its description in RNAcentral is "bacterial SSU rRNA". It matches the Rfam family "Bacterial small subunit ribosomal RNA", at positions 84 to 678 of the family's 1533-position model. The record is from RNAcentral. Lineage: Bacteria; Pseudomonadati; Pseudomonadota; Gammaproteobacteria; Pseudomonadales; Pseudomonadaceae.